CCAGGACAAAGCUCAACCUGUUGUGAGGCAGGGACGGAAAGCCGCGGAUCUUUAAAAAAAGAAAGCCGGGUUACCUUG
RNAcentral lists this non-coding RNA (78 nucleotides) under Candidatus Vecturithrix granuli. RNAcentral describes it as "Bacterium UASB270 c-di-GMP sequence". It matches the Rfam family "c-di-GMP-I riboswitch aptamer". From Rfam's summary of the family: GEMM was predicted in a large-scale screen for bacterial structured RNA regulatory elements. The record is from Rfam by way of RNAcentral. Lineage: Bacteria; Candidatus Moduliflexota; Candidatus Vecturitrichia; Candidatus Vecturitrichales; Candidatus Vecturitrichaceae.